RNAcentral lists this ribosomal RNA (500 nucleotides) under uncultured bacterium. RNAcentral's name for it is "partial 16S ribosomal RNA". It matches the Rfam family "Bacterial small subunit ribosomal RNA", at positions 28 to 507 of the family's 1533-position model. The record is from RNAcentral.
GACGAACGCUGGCGGCGUGCUUAACACAUGCAAGUCGAACGGGUCUGCCCUGUUUUUUGCGGGGUGGGUCAGUGGCGAACGGGUGAGUAACACGUGAGUAACCUGCCCCUCACUUCUGGAUAACCGCUUGAAAGGGUGGCUAAUACGGGGUGUUCUGGCUGUGCCGCAUGGUGUGGCUGGGAAAGAUUCACUUUUGUGGUGUUUUGGUGGGGGAUGGGCUCGCGGCCUAUCAGCUUGUUGGUGGGGUGAUGGCCUGCCAAGGCUUUGACGGGUAGCCGGCCUGAGAGGGUGGGCGGUCACACUGGGACUGAGAUACGGCCCAGACUCCUGCGGGAGGCAGCAGUGGGGGGUAUUGCACAAUGGGCGGAAGGAUGAUGCAGCGACGUCGCGGGAGGGAUGGAGGCCUUCGGGUUGUGAACCUCUUUCGCCGGUGAAGAAGGUCCUGCUCUUUGUGGUGGGGUUGACGGUAGCCGGGUUAUGAAGCGCCGGCUAACUACGUG